AUUGCUUCUCAGCCUUUUGGCUAACAUCAAGUGUAGUAUUUGUUCUUACCAGUUUAAUAUUUGAUAUAUCCUCUUGCCAAGGACAAUGUAGUAAAUGGAUUUUGGAGCAGUUAGAAGAAGAGCUUGCUCCUCGCUCCACUCAUUGGCCUGGUAUUGCAGUACCUCCAGGAAUGGUGCACUCCCU
Molecule: small nuclear RNA, 184 nt
Organism: Otolemur garnettii (small-eared galago)
Lineage: Eukaryota; Metazoa; Chordata; Mammalia; Primates; Galagidae
Gene: U2
Rfam family: U2 spliceosomal RNA
About the family: U2 is a small nuclear RNA (snRNA) component of the spliceosome (involved in pre-mRNA splicing). Complementary binding between U2 snRNA (in an area lying towards the 5' end but 3' to hairpin I) and the branchpoint sequence (BPS) of the intron results the bulging out of an unpaired adenosine, on the BPS, which initiates a nucleophilic attack at the intronic 5' splice site, thus starting the first of two transesterification reactions that mediate splicing.
Source: Ensembl